CAGGGUUUCUUCUCAAAGGGGUGCUUCCUUUUCUCAGGAAUUCCAUGUUUUGCAGGUCUCCCCUCCCAAAUAUUGCACGAGUUUGUGGAUUUUAAGGUGAAAUUGGGAAGCAAGGGAAGAAUUUUGGAAGAUCCGGUGGCUGAAGUUCAUAAUCUUUGAAUUUCUUCUGCUGCAUUCUUAUCGGAGAGGUAUUUUUCAUUGUAUUUCCCUUUAUUGCCUCAACUGUUAGGAGGGUUUUAUUAGUAUUAUUUUUUUCCCCAAAAAGAAUAGGGUGCUACAUUACUUUUUCUUAUUCUGGCUCAUUUCUUAUCAUUCUUACAUGAAGCUCUUGUCCUUCUUUUAUUACCAUUUGGGAUUGAGUUUGGAACUUUGGGCCGAGAGUUUCAAGUGUUUCACAUUCCUCCUGCUUGAUAGGUCUCUGGAUCUUGCUUCAGCAGAUUUUUGAUGGAAAAAUUGCAGAUUUUUGAUGGAAAACUUGCUUAUUUUUGGCAAUUUCUUGCUCAAUUCUGUAGAAAA
RNAcentral lists this long non-coding RNA (516 nucleotides) under Phoenix dactylifera (date palm). RNAcentral describes it as "long non-coding RNA (PDAC_LNC022761)". The record is from RNAcentral. Lineage: Eukaryota; Viridiplantae; Streptophyta; Magnoliopsida; Arecales; Arecaceae.